This 497-nucleotide ribosomal RNA is filed under the name uncultured bacterium. Its description in RNAcentral is "partial 16S ribosomal RNA". It matches the Rfam family "Bacterial small subunit ribosomal RNA", at positions 28 to 507 of the family's 1533-position model. The record is from RNAcentral.
GAUGAACGCUGGCGGCGUGCCUAAUACAUGCAAGUCGAGCGAACAGACGAGGAGCUUGCUCCUCUGACGUUAGCGGCGGACGGGUGAGUAACGCGUGGAUAACCUACCUAUAAGACUGGGAUAACUUCGGGAAACCGGAGCUAAUACCGGAUAAUAUAUUGAACCGCAUGGUUCAAUAGUGAAAGACGGUUUUGCUGUCACUUAUAGAUGGAUCCGCGCCGCAUUAGCUAGUUGGUAAGGUAACGGCUUACCAAGGCAACGAUGCGUAGCCGACCUGAGAGGGUGAUCGGCCACACUGGAACUGAGACACGGUCCAGACUCCUACGGGAGGCAGCAGUAGGGAAUCUUCCGCAAAGGGCGAAAGCCUAACGGAGCAACGCCGCGUGAGUGAUGAAGGUCUUCGGAUCGUAAAACUCUGUUAUUAGGGAAGAACAAAUGUGUAAGUAACUAUGCACGUCUUGACGGUACCUAACCAGAAAGCCACGGCUAACUACGUG